UACGGAGGGUGCGAGCGUUAAUCGGAAUUACUGGGCGUAAAGCGCGCGUAUGUGGCUGGGUAAGUCGGAUGUGAAAGCCCCGGGCUUAACUUGGGAACUGCAUUCGAUACUGCCCGACUAGAGUAUGGUAGAGGAAAGCGGAAUUCCCGGUGUAGCGGUGAAAUGCGUAGAUAUCGGGAGGAACAUCAGUGGCGAAGGCGGCUUUCUGGACCAAUACUGACGCUGAGGCGCGAAAGCGUGGGUAGCAAACAGG
This 253-nucleotide ribosomal RNA is filed under the name uncultured bacterium. Its description in RNAcentral is "partial 16S ribosomal RNA". It matches the Rfam family "Bacterial small subunit ribosomal RNA", at positions 524 to 776 of the family's 1533-position model. The record is from RNAcentral.